This 936-nucleotide long non-coding RNA is filed under the name Calidris pugnax (ruff). RNAcentral describes it as "lncRNA (ENSCPUG00000018156.1)". Lineage: Eukaryota; Metazoa; Chordata; Aves; Charadriiformes; Scolopacidae. The record is from RNAcentral.
AUCGAGACAAAGCAAAAUAUAUUGUGGCAAAUUCUGCAGUUCAGAGUCGUGACAGAGUCAGAGCCUCCUAUUGCAGUGCGGGAGCCUUCUGCUUGUCUCCCCGCUGCCUAGGAUGCAGGGGCUUCCGAGCGGGGUUAAAUAGAAAUAAUACAGUAAAUAUACAGUUUCAAAAGUCCUUCAGGACAUGCAGCAAACGCCGGUGAUUCGGACUGGGUGAAGUUGUCAAAGGUUGCUUUGCUCUCCAGAGCCUGGCAGUAGCUCCACUGAAAUGUGAUGCCAUUGGUUUUCAGCAAAGGUUUCUUUCUGCAGGGCUGCAAACAGAGAUCAGCUGCUACUGUGUAUACACAACUAGGGAGCAAAUCAAGCAGCACAUUUAAGCAGCCUUUUUAACCCUGAGACUUUCCAAGAUUUCUUCUUCUUCACGCAGGAAGUUUCCUUUAUAUUGUCAGCUCUAGCACUUUGCUCAUGUAAUGAGAUCAGAGCUAGGAUCACUGCUGCACAGUAGAAAGACUUCCUUAAGACAUUUGUCCUUGAAACUGCACCAAACUCUUGGAAGAACCCAGAACCUCUGAGCAGUCUCUGUCAAGCACAGGUCGCAGCUAAAAUGCAUAGGUAGAUGCAGGACAAAUCCAGCUUUCCCUGUUCUUCUGAGCUGCCUUGCCAGACGGAGGGGGCGAUUGCUUGUGCCAGUCAGAAAGAGUUCUGUUUGGGAAGCAAAGAAAGGGAUAGGAGGUAUCAGCUACUGAAGCCCAGACAGCCCGGCAGAGAGUCUAAAAAGCCAUCUAAUAGUCGUCUUUCUGAAAACACAUCCAUUAGUAUGCAGUGUUUUCACUGCUGUAAUAAUAAGAGCAAUCAUGAUACGAACAAGCCCGUCUCUUCACAGCCUUCCCAUGCGGGAUGGAGAAUGACAGCUCCUAAAGCAUUUGGAUAUUUGCC